AUUGAACGCUGGCGGCAGGCCUAACACAUGCAAGUCGAGCGGAUGAAGGGAGCUUGCUCCUGGAUUCAGCGGCGGACGGGUAGUAAUGCCUAGGAAUCUGCCUGGUAGUGGGGGAUAACGUCCGGAAACGGGCGCUAAUACCGCAUACGUCCUGAGGGAGAAAGUGGGGGAUCUUCGGACCUCACGCUAUCAGAUGAGCCUAGGUCGGAUUAGCUAGUUGGUGGGGUAAAGGCCUACCAAGGCGACGAUCCGUAACUGGUCUGAGAGGAUGAUCAGUCACACUGGAACUGAGACACGGUCCAGACUCCUACGGGAGGCAGCAGUGGGGAAUAUUGGACAAUGGGCGAAAGCCUGAUCCAGCCAUGCCGCGUGUGUGAAGAAGGUCUUCGGAUUGUAAAGCACUUUAAGUUGGGAGGAAGGGCAGUAAGUUAAUACCUUGCUGUUUUGACGUUACCAACAGAAUAAGCACCGGCUAACUUCGUG
RNAcentral lists this ribosomal RNA (483 nucleotides) under uncultured bacterium. RNAcentral's name for it is "partial 16S ribosomal RNA". It matches the Rfam family "Bacterial small subunit ribosomal RNA", at positions 30 to 507 of the family's 1533-position model. The record is from RNAcentral.